Molecule: long non-coding RNA, 7455 nt
Organism: Homo sapiens (human)
Lineage: Eukaryota; Metazoa; Chordata; Mammalia; Primates; Hominidae
Exons: 2
Source: RefSeq, a predicted model, not a curated record
UUUUGAUCUCAUUCAGGUCCCUCCAGCACAUCUUACCUGCCCUAAAUGACCCGGUAUGUGGCAGACUAGUCAUACCAAAGUUGGAAUACUUAGGAAGAAAUUAAACGGCUGUUUGGGCCCAAACCUUAAGGCUCCUGUUCCAAAUCCCUCUCCUAAAACCACCUACAUCUCCCUCAUUUCUCACAGCAUGUCUAUCAUUAUAUGUCCCUUUUGAACUGUAAGCUACACAGGGCACAGAUCGUAUCUGUGGCUGUAAACAUAUUUGCCUUGGUCCCCAGCACAAUGCCUGGUACGUGGGAGGUGCUUAGCAAACAUUUGUUAAAUGAGAAGGGGCGAGAGAGGGAAGCCUGGAGGUCAGGUGGCAGGCAUCCUAGCUUGAGUUUCAGCCACACGCUGCCUCAGGAACCACGCAGCCCACUGGCAGAGUUGAGGGUUGACAGGAAUUCCGAGACUGCGGUGCCUGGGGCAAUGUGGUAAAAGCUAUUUUUGUUUCCUCAUGUCUAAACAAUGACAUUUGUCAAUGGACAUAUACAGAAGUGAAUUCAAUCCUGGUUAGUGUGACAUUCUUCUACACGCUGCCGGCUCUUAUCUGUGUGUGUACUAUAGUUCUCCUCUGUACAAAGGGGAUUUAAAAAGAGGCUCUAAUAUCAGAGAUUUUGCUCAAUAACUAAAAUUAUAAGUGACCUUUUUCAGAGUUCCUUUAGAGACAAAAUAGCUUGUAUAUACAAAGUUUUGUUACCAUUACAUGUGUUUAGAAGCGUUUUUACCUUUGAAUAAUCUAAAUAGUUGGCCUCUUAUAAUAAUGAUGUAAAUAAUGAAGCAGUCAAGUGGAGCGGUUCACAGCAUACAUUUACAAUCAAAGAGACCUGGGUUCAGACAAUUUCUCAAAAAUAUUAUGCAAGAUAAAACAAGCACAAAAUUGCAAUCAUAUGAUAGUAUCUACCCCCACGGUAUAGGUGGGAGGAUUAAGUAAUUAAAUAUAAAAGGUUUAGAAUAGUGCCUGGCACAUGGUAUAUAUAAAUGCUUGCUGUUAUUAUUUUGCAUUUUAAAAAAAGUCUGAGAGGGGGAGGGGCAUUAAAAUAAACAUAAACAAGAAAAAAAAUCUGAGCCCCAAAGAGAUUACAAGACUUGCCCAAGCUUACACCGAAAUAUUCGAAGUUAAGCCUAAAACUCAAGUUUUAACCCCCACUCCCGGCAACUGUACUACAUAAUGCCACACAGAUUAUACUGUUUUUUUUUUGUUGUUUAUUUUUUGUUUUUAAGUAACUCGCUUUUUUUCCUUUGCCUUUUGCAUUUUACACUGAACAAUAAUUUCCUAGCUUUCAGGAAAUAGUAAUUUUUAAAUGCUUACCACCUGAUUAUAUUCAUUAAAGAUUUCCAAAAUAGUCCCUAGUCUAGCAAAGUAGAAAUCACACCAUUAUUAUAUUAUUACAGAGCUGAAGAAAGAGAAUAUAUUUCUCUUCCAAAACUUCUAUGAGAGUCAAUAUAAUUCCUAUUAUACUUUCUCUGCUAUUUUAUUAUCCUUUUCUUUAUUAGAGGUUUAGAUUUGAAGCCACUCAAGAAAAAGGAUAGGAAUGGAAAGAGAUUUAAAUUGCUCUUUGUCCAUAUUAAGGCCAAAGCUUUAGCAGAUAAGGGCAAAGGGAAGGUUAAGACACAAUGGUCAAAUGCUGUGACCUAAUUACGUCUGGACUUACUUAUUUUCUUGUCCUUUCAUUAAUGAGAAUCAUCUAAUUUAGACUCAGUUAUCAUGUAACAAUAAAAGCCAUAUAUGUUUAAACAUAUAGCUUUGCCUUGAUGUAAUUACUUUCUAAAUGGGAAAUAUUUAUGGAGCAGAAUCAUCCAGGCUGAAUCAAAGGAAAGAGAACAAAAGAAAGUUGGUUUACAUGAGGUUUUUGUUGUGUUUUUCUUUUCUUAUAUAUGUUCUGGCACUUUUAUGUUUAAGCCAAAAACUGGAGGCAGAAAUGAAGAGAAUUCUACAGCCAGAUGGGCGCUUAGAUGACAGAAUGGCAAGAAGGGAUGUUUGAGAUAAUCUUAUGUUUCAGGGAACUGACACAGUUUCGUAAAUCACUGGGAUGGUGAAUGGCCAGGACUAGGGCCAGAUGCCCUGAUUCCCUAUGCAACUUUCCUUCCCCCUACCCUGGCCCCUCCCAUCACCACUGCCUCUCCCACCACUCAGCACCUUUGCAGCCCUGCUGGGUCCCAUUGCCUCCAAAACCCUUCUUCAUGGUAACUUCUGCUGUCUGGGGCUUUAUUUUCUGAUCAUUCGUUGUGACUCUUCUUCUUAAACCAUCAUUUGACUCUUUCAUAUAUAUCUGUCUAGCGAAAAAUAUACAUGUAUAUAUAUUUGCAACCCUCUUAGGAUAUAGUAUAGCAACAGGCCCAUAAUGAGCACUGAAUAUUUACUGACAGGAUGAGGGAAUAAAUGAAUUGCUCUUGAUGUUUGCAGAGAGCACUCCCUAACAGUUCUCUCAUAAUUUUUCUUCUCCACAAUAUAAUUCAUAACGAAUGCUAACUUUACAUUUUACCAAAGACCCAACUACAUCUGUUUAUGUUCAUUUCACUACAUACAUGAAGUUUUAAGUCAUAUGCACAAUCAAAAGAAUAUUUAUAUUCUCUCUGAAGGAAAAUAUGGUCUCAAAUAUAACUGUUUGAAAGUCAUUCAUCACAUCUCUGGAAGAAGUCCUCCUAUAGCCAUCCUGGUGCUAGGAGUAAAAUUGCUGAAAGAAAAUAGAAAUGUACCCUACUGCAAAGAUAAACAUUAAAAUACACACUGAUGCCUCUAGAAGAGCAAUUAUCCUUUGGGGAGUUUAUUUGCUUUAAAAAAUACUUCUUGCUGGAUGCUUUCCCCCCAAAUCUGAACAUAUGAAUAUACUUUGAAACAAGGAUUGGGCAUAGAUAUUGCUUUCUUUAAUAUGUGUUCUGAAAUUGACUAAAGGAACAGGCUGGCUGUGGGGAUAAUAUAUUCAUAUUGGAUCCUAUCUCAAACUUGUUACUGUGAAACACUUGGUAUUCUAAGAGUAUUAGGGUAGUUAUAUAAAACUAGAUUUACUCUAUUUUCUCAAAUGCUCCAACACUGAAGAUUCAAGCUUCUUAUGCUGAAAGUUUAUUUUUAAGAGAUUGCUUUUACAUUAAAGGGCUAAAGAAUGAAUUACUUUCAACUUCAAAUUUUACAUAAUGCUUAUCAGCCAAUAUACGAAGAUUUUCAAUUUUUACUUAAAAUAUUGACUAUGUUAUUAAAAGCAACAGGCCAAUUAAGGCCUUUGAAAUAAUAUAAGGUACAAAAGGAGAAGAAAAGAAGAAAAAUCACCUGAUUCCUUAAACAAAGUAACAAAGUAACUAGUUGACAGAUGAAAUUUCCUCUUCUAGUUAGGUAUUAUGUAGUCUCAACCAUAAAGAGCAGGUGAAUUUGGCUGUGUUAAAAUCUAAGUAAAAAAUACCUUGUUAUUCACCUUUAAUAUUACCCACUUGUCCUUCUUUCCAUUGAACUACUUGAGUCAUCUCCCCCGUGCCGCUGUGAACUGUGCUCAUACUUUAGCUGGCCACAAACGUUAAGUCAAGCUCUUAAAUAUCCGUUCUAGUUUCACAUAUGCUACUACCUAGCUGUGUAGCAAGGACAAGUGGCUUAACGUUGUGGUUAUCAGAUUCUUUAUCUCUCAAAAAGGGGAUGGAUUAGACUUGGGCUCCUCUCCUUGCUCCCAUCCCCAACUACCCUCCAUAUCGUACUGCAGGGACAGGCCCUCAUCCAUCGUAACAGCGACUUGCUUAGACAAUGCAUGGAGUGAGGCUCCCUGAGAUCAGAAUCCCAAAGGUGAGGCAGAGCCAGGAAUGGCUGCAUGGACCAAGCUCUAAGGAUCCAGAACUAAGCCCUAUAGUUCUGUAAUGUGAGCGCCACCUUUACAUCAGGUUCUAAAGACAAUGCUCUUUUUUCAACCAACAGGCAACUACUGCUGUCUAUGAGACAUGAGACUUUAUCCAUUAAUUAACUAUGUCUAUUAAGAACAGGUACAGCAGACAGAUGCUGUAUAAGGGAUAUAAUCCCUGUUCACUAUCCUAGGUUCCCCAAACUCUACCUCUUUACAGGCCUGAUGAGCAAAUUAAGCAUACCUGGACAAUUUCAGUGCACAAGACAACUGAAACCUGCCUUUCCUGCUGAAAUGCCUUCUAAGAAUUAACAAUUUAAAGCCAUGAUUUUGGUCUUUACAGGGUCAUUAGUAAGAAAUAGCCAUAAAAUGCAAUUUAUAAAAUUCAAAAUAAACUCUGCUAUGCUACCUGGUACCACUUGUGUUAAGAGCCAUGUGACAAGCACCUCUUAGUCAUUAAAUACCAGGAAAAAAGUACACUUUUUUUUCUUGAGAUGGAGUCUUGCUCUAUCACCCAGGCUGGAGUGCAAUGGCGCUAUCUUGGCCCACUGCAACCUCCACCUCCUGGGUUCAAGCAAUUCUCCUGCUUCAGCCUCCUGAGUAGCUGGGAUUACAGGAGUGUGCCACCAUGCCCGGCUAAUAUUUUGUAUUUUUAGUAAAGAUGGGGUUUCACCAUGUUGGCUAGGCUGGUCUCGAACUCCUGACCUCGUGACCCGCCCACCUAAACCUCCCAGAGUGCUGGGAUUACAGGUGUGAGCCACUGCACCUGGCCUGAAAAAAAUACACUUUCAUGAGAAAAUUACAACUAUAUGAAUAACCAGGUUUCCCUUUCCCCACAGCUAACAGGAGACUAAAUGCCAAAUUUAAUGCUUAAACAGAUAGUGGACAUUAAGUUCUCCAUAAAAUAUUCUCAUCUAAUACAUUUCUAGUUUAUAAUUUUUAUUCCAACUGACUUUUUUUUAAUGUAUUUUUUCAUUUACCACUUUAGACAUGCCUGAAGUAAGUGAAUAUAUAAAUAUAUACAGGCCAGGACAGUGUCACAGGGAAACGUAAGGAACCGAAUGCAGUGUUGACUACACAGCCUCCUCCCCACUGGGGGAUGGGACGCACCCUGCCACCCUUGGCAGUUGAGGUCAGGCUGACCAUGAGGAAAGAAACGGUCAUGUGGAUUCAACUGCUGAAUUCAACUAACCACACCAGCACUUCAACCCAACUAUAUUCAUUCAUCUAGGAGUUUCUUUGAGCUCAGCAAUGUUGUUUCUUGAUCCUUUGACAAAAUUAAUGAUGUAGCAAUUCAUUACUGACAGGGCAAAAAAUUUUGCCACAAUGUUUACAAGCUCUAAUAAAUUAUGGAUAAUUUACCAAAUUAAUACCAGUGAAGUGAAGCCCGCCUUUUUAGAUUUUCAUUUAUCAUUCUACCUAGCUCUUUCCUCCCCUCCGCCCAUCGUCUGUCUCUCUCUCCAUCUCUCUCUCUCUCACAUACAAGCAGAUAGCGUCAUUUUUAAGCUUAUAUUUUUUCUAAAUCAGCAUUCUAGGUCACUUUUUGUGAAAUGAAGUUGAAAGUAUUUAUUAGGUUGCUUGCACCCACAGCAACAGUAUUUCUGUAACAGAUUUUGACUUGAGAAUCAAAGUUUGAAUAUAGUAUAAUUGGUAUGUUCUAGCUUGGUCCCAUGGCCCAUUAAAAAAAACUAGAAUUAGACAUAAAGUAAUGAAGGAUCCUAUAAAAGAAGCUGAGCAUCAUUUUUUAAAAAAGUUCCUAAUAUGUAGUAAACUCACCAUUGUGAAUAUCAAACUGUGUUGAGUACCUACUGUGCAGAAGACAGACUCCUCCAUCAAGAAAUUUUUAAAUCUAGUGCAAAAAAUAAAAUAGAAAAGAGAGCUUCCUUUUAUACAUUUAAUAUUUGGGUUUGGAAACAAUAUAUUGGUGUAUGAGCUUAUAAAGCCAAAUUAUUCUUAGCAUCCAGAUAAUUUCUUGUGGCAAUAAUGGGAACUUUUAUUUAUAAUGUAAUAUUUAUAUUGGAACAGCCAGCAUUAAAUUACUGAGCUGUUUGUGUUAUAAAAUACACAAAAAGGAAAGGCCUCAUUUUCAGAGGAUUCACAAACCAACAUGAAAGUCAGUGGGGUACAAAAGUAAUCACCCACCAGCUCUGCAACCCUUAUGAUGACCAUGAGAGGGAUGCAUGGGUUUUCUCAAAGCCAUACCCAAUUCUAGGGGAAGAAAACUCAUUAAAUAACUCCUUUGCAAAGAGCAGGGCUUAGUUAAUAGUCCAUGCUCUUUAAGGACCAAACCUUUAAAGAGAGAUCACUCUUAUUUGCUAUUUUUGAAUAAUUCCACACUAACAGCUUAUCUCCAGCUGGCUAUCUUCGGUUACAUCUGACUUUCCCCAAGCACCCCACUUUCCUGCCCCAUCAUUAAAACCUGGGAGUCAUCUCACCACCUGCUCCUUUUGUGUUCCCUCCUGUGGUCAGAUGCUUUCUUUCUCUUCCAAGUUCUUGGGACACCUACUUUCUUUUUAUUUUAUUUUUAAAAGUUAUUAUUAUUAUUAUUGUCAUUAUUUUAAGACAGGGCCUCAUUCUUUUGCCUGAGCUGGAGUACUGAGGCUCUAUCAUAGCUCACUGCAGCCUCCACCUCCUAGGCUCAAAUGUUCCUUCUGCCUCAGCCUCCUAAGUAGCUGGGACAACAGGUGUGAGCCACUAUGUCUGGCUAAUUUUCAUUUUUUGUAGAAAUGGGGUCUCACUAUGCUUUCUAGGCUUAGGCUGGCCUCCAGCUCCCGGCCACAAGUGAUCCUCCCACCUCAGCCUCCCAAAGUGCUGGGAUAACAGGCAUGAGCCACUGCACCCGGCCAUGCUUUCUUUUCCUUUCCUUGAGUCUCCUUGUAUCUAAAUUUACAUCCCUCUUGCUUGCACUGUGGCAGCAGACUCCUAACUGGGCUUUCGGUCUCCAGUCUCACCUGACCUUAAGAUUAUUCUUUCUAAAGUGCAAUUCUCAAUUCUUUGCAGUCUUGUUCGCAAGUCAUCAGAACCCUCCCUCUACCUUCCUGGUACAAACAACUUCUCAGUUUAUCAUUUGAGAACCUCCUCCUUGGGACUACUAUUUGCCUCCAUCAGGUUCCCUCCCUCAGUCAAAGUGGUCUCAACUACUGUGCUCUACAAGGAUUACGCCUGCUAUUUUCCUCCUCAGCCUGCAGAGGGGAUGGGCAGGGGCUGGGCAGGAGCUAGGGAGGCUGUGGGGUUGGGGAGGGACACUCUGCAGGCCUGUUGCUUCCCACCCUCCAGCAGCUGGGUCUAUUUACCCAAGUGUCCAGCAUAAAUCAUUUUCUGGAAUAUGCUCCAGGCAAAGUGGCUUGACAAAUUACUGUUAAAGGCAGAACUUCUUGUCUCUGUCUUGGCUCCUAGCCUUCCCUCCAUUCUGCAUUUUCAAAAUCCUGCCAUUUCACACCCUUCUCUCCUAAGAAAUCCUUCCUGACCUUCCCGCCAACAUGGGGCUUCCUCUUUCACACAUAUACAGCAUUUGGUAUGUGCUUGAUGGUAUUAGUUGUAUUUGCCCUGCAAUUAGCGGAUGAUACUCUAAUUGUCCUGUGUCUGUUAUUAGGAU